UCUAAUAUGGCAGAUUAGUGCAAUGAACUUAAGCUUCAUGAAUAAAUUUUUUUUUUGUUAGAA
This 63-nucleotide transfer RNA is filed under the name Tettigades dumfriesi. RNAcentral describes it as "tRNA-Leu". Lineage: Eukaryota; Metazoa; Arthropoda; Insecta; Hemiptera; Cicadidae. The record is from RNAcentral.